This 635-nucleotide ribosomal RNA is filed under the name uncultured bacterium. RNAcentral's name for it is "bacterial SSU rRNA". The stretch from base 1 to 546 matches the Rfam family "Bacterial small subunit ribosomal RNA", at positions 338 to 873 of the family's 1533-position model. The record is from RNAcentral.
CCUACGGGAGGCAGCAGUGGGGAAUUGUUCGCAAUGGGCGCAAGCCUGACGACGCAACGCCGCGUGGAGGAUGAAGACCUUCGGGUCGUAAACUCCUUUCGAUCGAGACGAAUGUUUUCCGGGUGAACAAUCCGGAAAAGUGACGGUACCGAGAGAAGAAGCCCCGGCUAACUCUGUGCCAGCAGCCGCGGUAAUACAGGGGGGGCAAGCGUUGUUCGGAAUUACUGGGCGUAAAGGGCUUGUAGGUGGCCAACUAAGUCAGACGUGAAAUCCCUCAGCUUAACUGGGGAACUGCGUCUGAUACUGGAUGGCUUGAGUUUGGGAGAGGGAUGCGGAAUUCCAGGUGUAGCGGUGAAAUGCGUAGAUAUCUGGAGGAACACCGGUGGCGAAGGCGGCAUCCUGGACCAACACUGACACUGAGGAGCGAAAGCCAGGGGAGCAAACGGGAUUAGAUACCCCCGGGUAGUCCUGGCCCUAAACGAUGAAUGCUUGGUGUGGCGGGUAUCGAUCCCUGCCGUGCCGAAGCUAACGCAUUAAGCNUCCGCCGUGGGAGGUACGGUCGCGAGGCGUAGAAACGUUAAAGGUAAGUUAGUACGGCGUGAGACGUCGCCGACGGACGACGACGAGGGAGGAGG